UGCCAGCACCGCGGUAAUACGGAGGGUGCGAGCGUUAAUCGGAAUUACUGGGCGUAAAGCGCACGUAGGCGGCUUAUUAAGUCAGCUGUGAAAUCCCCGGGCUCAACCUGGGAACUGCAGUUGAUACUGGUAGGCUAGAAUUUGGGAGAGGUGAGUGGAAUUUCCGGUGUAGCGGUGAAAUGCAUAGAGAUCGGAAGGAACACCAGUGGCGAAGGCGACUCACUGGACCAAAAUUGACGCUGAGGUGCGAAAGCGUGGGUAGCAAACAGGAUUAGAUA
Molecule: ribosomal RNA, 278 nt
Filed under: uncultured bacterium
Lineage: Bacteria
Description: partial 16S ribosomal RNA
Rfam family: Bacterial small subunit ribosomal RNA
Source: RNAcentral